UCAUCGGUGAUGUCAUCGGUGAGGUCAUCGCCUGGGCGGCCGGGUUCCUUGAGGGCGGCAGGGGGCUGCCCCUCCCCCGCACUGACGUCACCCGUGACGUCGCCCCCGGCGCUGAUGUCACCCGUGACGUCACCCCCAGCUGUGACGUCAUCCUCGGCGCUGACGUCAUGCAUGACGUCACCCUCGGCACUGACGUCACGGCCAGCGGGGGCUCCCGGGGGGAAGGAGGUGACAUCGACGCCCGGGAUGGCACCAAGUUCCGCCCCCCACGUGACAUCAUCGGUGACGUCACCCUCCAGAGCGAUGUCAUGCCCGGCACCGCCCCCCGGGGUGAAGGAAGUGACGUCAUCGUCAAGCGUGACGUCAUCGAUGGCGUCGUUCCAAGCAGCGGCGCCACCUCCGGCGGUGUCCCCAGGGAAAAAGGAAGUGACGUCAUUCGCGCCGGUGACGUCAUCGGCGAGGUCAACAUCCGGCUUAACCUCUCGGCCAGCCGCCCCUCCCGGCAGGGAGGAAGUGACGUCAUCCUUGACGUCAUCCUUGGCGAUGACGUCACCAGCGAGAAGAGCCCCAGGUGCAGAAGGAGCGACGCCUUCCCCCCCGAUGACGUCAUCGGUGAGGUCACCGCUGGGGAUGACGUCACCAGCUGUGACGUCAUCGGCACGGGCGUCCCUGGCGGGGGAGGGAAGGGCCCUGCUGAUGAUGUCAUCGGUGAGGUCAUUUGCGGGCAUGACGUCACCAAUGAGCUCCUCCCCAGGAAGGGAGGAAGUGACGUCAUCACCCCUAAAGAUGUCCCCACCAAUGACGUCAUUACUUCCAGGGAUGGCGUCAUUGCUUCCGGGGAUGACGUCAUUACUUCCAGUGAUGACGUCAUCACUUCCAGGGAUGACGUCACCCCCAAAGACGUCCCCGCCCAUGACGUCACCACUUCCCGGGAUGACGUCAUCGAUUCCCGGGAUGACGUCACCCCCAAAGAUGUCCCUGCCAAUGACAUCAUCGCUUCCGUGGAUGACAUCAUCACUUCUGUGGAUGACGUCAUCGCUUCCAGGGAUGAUGUCACCGGCGACGUCAUCCCCGGGGAAGGAGGAAAUGACAUCAGCCAUGGCGAUGAUGUCGCCGGUGAGGUCAUCUUUGCUGCUGACGUCACGGCUGACGUCGCCCCCGGCCACCAAGGAAGUGACGUCACCGUCAGCCUCGGGGACAGCGGAGGGGCCGCCCCCGCCCGCGAUGACGUCGCCGGGGGGAGCAGCGGUGACGUCAGCGGUGGUGACAUCAGCAGUGACGUCAUCGCCGGGGACGUCCUCGUCCUCCGCCGGGGGGGCCGUCACCGUGAUGGUGAUGCCACCAGCGGCGCACGUGUCCCCGAUGUCCCCAUUGUCCCCAACCCCAAUGACCCCAAUGUCCCCAACCCCAAUGUCCCCGACCCCAAUGUCCCCGACCCCAAUGUCCCCAACGUCUUUGACCCCGAUGUCCCCAACGUCCUUGACCCCGAUGUCCCCAACGUCCCCGAUGUCCUCGUCGGCCGGCGCCGCGGUGACGGUGAUGGUGAUGCCACUGGCCCAGGGGGUGACGGUGACCGCGGGGACACCGGGGGUGGCCCCGUCCCCCUCGGGGACCCCCCCGGGCUGUCCCCAAGGAGGUCGGGGACCCGCUGUGGGGCCGGCGGUGACGUCCCCGCUGGUGGCCACCGCUGUCACCUCCCCGGGGAGGGGACACGGGGGGGUGGCGUGCGAGCCCCCCUCGGCCAUGGGGCAGGGACCUAGGGGGGGGACAGAGGGGACGGGGACGUCACGGGGGUGGUGGCACAGGGACGGGGGGACCCCAAUAGGGACAGGGGGACCCCAGGAGGGACCCCAAAAGAGUCGGGGGGACCCCAAUAGGGACAGGGGGACCCCAAGAGGGACGGGGGGGACACGGGGACAGGGGGACCCCAAUAGGGACAGGGAGACCCUGAUAGCGAUGGGGGGACCCCAAUAGGGACAGGGCACCCCAAGAGGGACGGGGGGACACGGGAGGGACCCCAAUAGGGACAGGGGGACCCCAGGAGGGAUGGGGGGACCCCAAUAGGGUUGGGGGGGACACAGGAGGGACAGGGGGGACCCCAAUAGGGACAGGGGACACAGGAUUUGGGGGGGGGAUAAGGACAGGAGGGGGACACGUGGUGGGGUCCUGGGUGUACCUGACGCCCUGAGGGCCGCUUUCGGGGUCCCAAGGCCGAUUUCGGGGUCCUGAGGCCGAUUUUGGGGUCCAAAAACAGGAUUUCAGGUCCCGGUGCUGUUUUUUUUUAGGAUCCUGUUGGGAUUCGGGGGGUCCUGGCGCUGCUUUUGGGGUCCUGCUGCGGGUUUACAACAUCCCGGGGGUGGUUUUGGGGUCCUGCUGCGGGUUUUGGGGUCCUGGAGCCACUUUUGGGGUGUCCCCUCAGGCUCCCGGGGCCGCUUUUGGGGUCCGCAUCACAACAUCAGCGCCGGAGCUGCCGCUUUUGGGGUAAAAUAUCCAGGUUUGGGGUCCUGGUAUUGGGCUGGGGGCUUACAGGCUCCUGGUGCUGCUUCUGUGGUCCCAAUCCAGAUUUUGGGGUGCCGUUUUCGGGGUGCAGCUUUUAGGGUCCCUGUUUUAGGGUUGCAGACCGUCGGAGGAUCCCGGCGCUGGUUUCGGGGUCCCGGAGCCGGUUUUGGGGUGCCCCGACCGCGUUCAAAAUCCCAGCGUCAGUUUCGGGGUCCUGGGGUCCUGGUCCUGGUCCUUUUUUGGGGUCCUGGUCCAACUUUUGGGGUGCCACGGCCAGUUUUGGGGUGCCAAAAGCCCCUUUUGGGGUUCUUCAGCGCCUUUUGGGGUCCUGGUCCCACUUUCGGGGUCCCUCAGCGCCUUUUGGGGUUCUCCAGCCCCUUUUGGGGUCCCGGUCCCACUUUCAGGGUUCCUCAGCCCCUUUUAGGGUUCUUCAGCCCCUUUUGGGGUCCUGGUCCCACUUUUGGGGUUCUUCAGC
This 2974-nucleotide long non-coding RNA is filed under the name Anser brachyrhynchus (Pink-footed goose). Its description in RNAcentral is "lncRNA (ENSABRG00000007340.1)". The record is from RNAcentral. Lineage: Eukaryota; Metazoa; Chordata; Aves; Anseriformes; Anatidae.